GAGACAAGCAGCACUGAGAAGGAGCACUGCUUGUUAGAGCUGUACACAGGAGACUCGUGUUUAGAUCGUGCUUUUGUUUUUGUUCUAUUUCUGCAGAACAGAGGGAAUGAGGAGACAUCUCUUGCACUGGGUGAACAGUUUCUCCAGGGGAAAGGAGAAGGAAAAUGCUGAGGAUGAAUUUGCAGGAACUAUAGCAUGGGACCAAAAUAUUGUCAUUGGCUGAGCUCCAGAGGCAGAAGCCAGGGCUGCUGGAAAUAGGGUCAAGGAAGAAAUGGACUCUACAGGCUGGGACUGGGAAAGCAGGGCUAACAGCUGGAACUCUUUCCCUGAAGUGCCUUCCCACCUUCUUAUUUCUGUCUGCCCUCAUUAUUUGAUUAUCACGAGAGAAAUCUAAAGAGUGUACUCAGUAAAUCCUGAAUAAAUGCUAAUAAAUGA
Molecule: long non-coding RNA, 435 nt
Organism: Lagopus leucura (white-tailed ptarmigan)
Lineage: Eukaryota; Metazoa; Chordata; Aves; Galliformes; Phasianidae
Exons: 2
Source: RefSeq, a predicted model, not a curated record